GGAAGCAGGAUGGGAAGAAGUGUAAUCAAGAUAGUUGUGGGAGUCAGUGGGUUUGUAAUAGACGUCCGUCAAUAGUCUAUUUCCUGUGAUGGAGACUGUGAGAUCAUUAAAGGGGAGGGAGAUGAUGAUAGUCCAUGUAAAUUUG
Amblyraja radiata (thorny skate) is the source of this 145-nucleotide long non-coding RNA. RefSeq lists it as uncharacterized. Lineage: Eukaryota; Metazoa; Chordata; Chondrichthyes; Rajiformes; Rajidae. The record is from RefSeq and is a predicted model, not a curated record. The transcript has 3 exons.